AUUUAAAGAGGAGAACAGCAUCCAAAAUUGCCAGAAAUGAUGAUGGAAAUGUAGGCGAAUUUGGUAUCGGUCCAUUUAGGGAAGAUGCUAAUACUCACUUACUAGAGGAUGGGCUACUAUCACCAUAUUCAAAGACUCGGACGGCAGAAAC
Asparagus officinalis (garden asparagus) is the source of this 151-nucleotide long non-coding RNA. RefSeq lists it as uncharacterized. NCBI's taxonomy places the organism in Eukaryota, Viridiplantae, Streptophyta, Magnoliopsida, Asparagales, Asparagaceae. The record is from RefSeq and is a predicted model, not a curated record. The transcript is spliced from 3 exons.